Molecule: ribosomal RNA, 459 nt
Filed under: uncultured bacterium
Lineage: Bacteria
Description: partial 16S ribosomal RNA
Rfam family: Bacterial small subunit ribosomal RNA
Source: RNAcentral
CCUACGGGAGGCAGCAGUGAGGAAUAUUGGUCAAUGGUCGGGAGACUGAACCAGCCAAGCCGCGUGAGGGAUGAAGGUACAGAGUAUCGUAAACCUCUUUUGUCAGGGAACAAAGGCGGGGACGCGUCCCCGGAUGAGUGUACCUGAAGAAAAAGCAUCGGCUAACUCCGUGCCAGCAGCCGCGGUAAUACGGAGGAUGCGAGCGUUAUCCGGAUUUAUUGGGUUUAAGGGGUGAGCAGGCGGUCUGUUAAGUCAGCGGUAAAAGCCCGGGGCUCAACCCCGGCCCGCCGUUGAAACUGGCAGUCUCGAGUUGGAGAGAAGUAUGCGGAAUGCGCGGUGUAGCGGUGAAAUGCAUAGAUAUCGCGCAGAACUCCGAUUGCGAAGGCAGCAUGCCGGCUCCACACUGACGCUGAGGCACGAAAGCGUGGGUAUCGAACAGGAUUAGAUACCCUUGUAGUC